This is a long non-coding RNA of Oncorhynchus nerka (sockeye salmon), 688 nucleotides long. RefSeq lists it as uncharacterized. NCBI's taxonomy places the organism in Eukaryota, Metazoa, Chordata, Actinopteri, Salmoniformes, Salmonidae. The record is from RefSeq and is a predicted model, not a curated record. The transcript is spliced from 3 exons.
UUUCCCUAUUUAACGGUUUGUCCAACACAUAUGCAGACUACACUACGUAGUACCUGUAACAGACAUUCUCACCGCACAUCCUCGGACCAGACAUCAUCUAAGAUGGGCGACAACAACCCAGUGAAGCAGGGAGUGGAGACCUUUGACAAGAAGUGUCUAAAGAAGACCAGUACUGCUGAGAAGAACACUCUGCCAACCAAGGAGGAUAUCGAGCAGGAGAAGAAAGCUGAAGAGGGCUCCAAAUGAAACGCCAUGGUUCCUCUCCUCCAGUCAUCCCUCUCUCUUCUCCUCCACCUAAUAAAUAUGUCUAUCGCGUCUGCUUCUUUCCGUAUCGCCAUGUUAGUUAACCACCAUGUUAGUUAAUCACAAUGGCGUUGACUCUGAUGCUGUGGGGUUAGGGGUGCAUGAUUAGUAAAGGGAAGGCCAAUAAGAUUUUAACUGUCAAAUGUUUUGAAUUGUGCUUUUUUAUGCAGUCUUGGUUGGAAAGGGGUGAACUAAGAUAAAGAUGGAUGAGCCAGGGUUGAACAGAAGGAAGAAAUGAACAUGUUGUGUUUACUGUCACCGUCUGUUCCACUGUCAACUAUGCCCAAUGUUCUGCCUGUACACAGUGCCAUUCUGGAUAACUUCUGUAACAAUAACAUGAGAGAAGAUAUUUUUGUUUUAAUAAAAUGAGUGUUGUCAAACUGAA